Acanthosepion pharaonis is the source of this 100-nucleotide non-coding RNA. Lineage: Eukaryota; Metazoa; Mollusca; Cephalopoda; Sepiida; Sepiidae. The record is from the annotation of a GenBank genome assembly.
CAUUGAAACACCGGUCACCGUACGAUCACCAAAGUUAAGCAAAGUUGAGCCUGGUUAGUAUCUGGAUGGGUGAUCGCUUGGUAAUACCAAGUGCCGUAAG